Molecule: long non-coding RNA, 281 nt
Filed under: Mytilus galloprovincialis (Mediterranean mussel)
Lineage: Eukaryota; Metazoa; Mollusca; Bivalvia; Mytilida; Mytilidae
Source: RNAcentral
AUUGUUAAAGAUCUUACAGUGCUAUACAGCUGUUAGCUCUUGGUGGUGAGUUGUCACAUUCACAAUCAUACCACAUCUUCUUGAUUUUAUAUUAUAAACUUUAUUUUGAUAUUUGGUCAAGGAAGAUGAUUGGUGUGGUUGUUUUCAAUCUUAUUUGACAAAAUGAUUGAUAUUUUAGAAUAUAGAGCUGAGAGACCUCAGUUUCAGAGAUUGUGUGAAUACAAGUGUUAUAUUUAUAUCAUUAUCACCCACAUUUUACUUAAUAUGGAUCCUGAUUUAUU